Molecule: RNA transcript, 2062 nt
Organism: Dipodomys spectabilis (banner-tailed kangaroo rat)
Lineage: Eukaryota; Metazoa; Chordata; Mammalia; Rodentia; Heteromyidae
Gene: Haus5
Gene name: HAUS augmin like complex subunit 5
Exons: 20
Source: RefSeq, a predicted model, not a curated record
UGAAGCGGGCGCGGGAGGUGGCGGCGGCCGCCCAGGUCUGGCGUUUGUCAUGGAGCUGGUGCGGGAAGCGCGGGAACUGGACUGCUGGGCGGUAGAAGAGAUGGGGGUACCCUUGGCAGCUCGAGCCCCGGAGUCGACGUUGCGUAGGCUGUGUCUGGGUCAGGGAGCUGACAUCUGGGCAUAUGUCCUGAAGCAUGUCCACAGUCAGAGGAGUCUAAAGAAGAUCCGGGGAAAUCUGCUCUGGUAUGGUUACCAGGAUAGUCCAGAGGUUCGUCGCAAGUUGGAACUGGAAGCCACGGCUGCCCGCCUCCGAGCUGAGAUCCAAGAGCUGGACCAGAGCCUAGAGCUGAUGGAUCAGGAGACCGAGACUCAAAACAUAGCCGAGGAGCAGGCACUGCAGAGCAUGCGUGACACCCAGCGUCAGGCUCUCCUCCUCCAGGCCCAAGCCGGGGCUGUGUGGAAACAGCAGCAUGGACUCCGAGGACCCAUGCAGCGGCUGCACAACCAGCUCAAGCGCCUGCAGGACAUGGAAAGGAAGGCCAAAAUGGAGGUGACCUUUGGCCCCCUGACAUCAGCAACCCUGGCCCUGGAGCCUGAGGCCUUGCGGGAUGUCCGAGCAGCCUGCAACCUCCGCGCCCGGUUCCUUCAGAACCUCCUCAUGCCCCAGGCCCAAGGAGGCCCUGUCCAAAACUCUCGAGAUGACCAAUUUGGAACUUCCUACCAGCAGUGGCUUAGCUCAGUGGAGACCCUGCUGACAAACCACCCACCAGGCCAUGUGCUGGCCGCCUUGGAGUACCUGGCUGCAGAGCGGGAGGCUGAGAUCCUAGCCCAAUGCCGCAGUGAUGAUGGACUGGGAGAGGCCCAGCUACCCAGACCCCAGGUACCCGACCAGUCAGAUUCUGACCAGCCAGCACCAUCCAUGGUACAUCUCAUCCAGGAAGGCUGGCAGGCCCUUGGUGCGCUGGUCACUCAGCAGGGCGCCCUCCUGAAAGAAUACCAGGUCCUCACUGGCCGCCUCCAGGAUGUGGUGGAAGAGGUGGAGAAAUGCGUCCUGGCAUCAAGCCAGAGGAAGGUGCUGAUGCUGGGGCUUCGGUGCUGUGGCCUCAGAGCAGAGCUCAAGGCCCUGUGUGCCCAGAGCCAGGAGUUGGAGGAGACAGCUGAACACCAGCAGCUUCUGCUGAAGGAGCUCCAGGCCAAGCAGCAGAGGAUCCUGCACUGGCGCCGGCUGGUGGAGGAGACCCAGGAACAGAUCCGCCUGCUCAUCAAGGGAAACUCAGCCAGCAAGACGCGCCUGGGCCGGGGUCCUGGGGAGGUGCUGGCUCUGCUUGAGCGGAAGGUGGUUCCCACUUCUGAGGCUGUGGCACCACAGAGCCAGGAGCUGCUCCGCUGCCUGGAGGAGGUAGCCCGGCAUCUGCCAGAUAUUCUGCUGGGCCCCUUGCUGCGGCACAGCCCCGAAGGCUCCAAGCCACUGCCCACCAUCCUGCCAUCCAUCCACCAGCUGCACCCCACACCUCCAGUGGGCUCUAGCCUCAUAGCACUGAGCCACAUACUGGGGCUGCCUGCAGGGAAGGCACCAGAGCUGCUCCUCCCGAAGGCUGCCUCUCUUCGCCAAGACCUUCUAUUCCUCCAGGACCAGCGCAGUCUCCGCUCCGCCAGUUUACUCCACCUGAAGACCCAUCUACAGCCAGAAUUGACCACCCAGGAGCUGCUGCAGGUCCAGGCCUCCCAGGAAAAGGAGCAGAGAGAGAGCGUGGGACAGGCUCUGAAGCGGCUGGACAACUUGCUCAAGCAGGCGCUGAAGCGUGUCCCUGAGCUGCAGGGGGUCGUGGGGGACUGGUGGGAGCAGCCAGGCCAGGCUGCCCUUUCCGAGGAGCUCUGCCAGGGCCUGUCUCUUUCCCAAUGGCAUCUGCGCUGGGUCCAGGCACAAGGAGCCCUGCAGCAGUUGUGCAAAUGAAGAGAAGCUCAAAUCAGAGUCAAGAAUCUAGCCAGGCGCCGGUAGCUCACACCUGUAAUUGUAGCUACCCAAGAGGUUGAGAUUUGAGGAUCAUGGAGAUGGGAAGAG